Molecule: long non-coding RNA, 390 nt
Filed under: Glycine max (soybean)
Lineage: Eukaryota; Viridiplantae; Streptophyta; Magnoliopsida; Fabales; Fabaceae
Description: long non-coding RNA (GMAX_LNC002544)
Source: RNAcentral
AACCAGAAACUUGCUUGGUUUGGGUCUUUUAAUUUACCCAACUUGAUUGACCACGAAUCGUUGUAAUCCAAUUAAUUAACUGGAUUUGAAGGGAAUGGCUCUGAUUACAACUUGGUGGUAAAGAGCCGCAAGAGCUGCACCAACGAAAGGUCCAACCCAGAAGAUCCACUGUAUAACAAAAAUGCCAAGCCUCAUUAACUUAUUAGGCUUCAGAAAAUUCUUAAAUUUGAUACUUAAGAGAGAGAGAGAGAGAGAUUUUAGUUAACAUACGUGAUCAUCCCAGCCAAGGUCUUUGUUGAAGAUGAUGGCAGCACCGAGACUUCGUGCAGGGUUGAUACCAGUUCCAGUGAUUGGGAUUGUGGCCAAGUGCACCAAGAACACAGCGAACCC